This 76-nucleotide transfer RNA is filed under the name Bacteroidales bacterium. RNAcentral's name for it is "tRNA-Met". It matches the Rfam family "tRNA". From Rfam's summary of the family: Transfer RNA (tRNA) molecules are approximately 80 nucleotides in length. Their secondary structure includes four short double-helical elements and three loops (D, anti-codon, and T loops). Further hydrogen bonds mediate the characteristic L-shaped molecular structure. tRNAs have two regions of fundamental functional importance: the anti-codon, which is responsible for specific mRNA codon recognition, and the 3' end, to which the tRNAs corresponding amino acid is attached (by aminoacyl-tRNA synthetases). tRNAs cope with the degeneracy of the genetic code in two manners: having more than one tRNA (with a specific anti-codon) for a particular amino acid; and 'wobble' base-pairing, i.e. permitting non-standard base-pairing at the 3rd anti-codon position. The record is from RNAcentral. Lineage: Bacteria; Pseudomonadati; Bacteroidota; Bacteroidia; Bacteroidales.
GGCGGGAUAGAGCAGCAGGAAGCUCGCCAGCCCCAUAAGCUGGAGGCCGCAGGUUCGAACCCUGCUCCCGCUACCA